Molecule: ribosomal RNA, 459 nt
Filed under: uncultured bacterium
Lineage: Bacteria
Description: partial 16S ribosomal RNA
Rfam family: Bacterial small subunit ribosomal RNA
Source: RNAcentral
CCUACGGGAGGCAGCAGUGAGGAAUAUUGGUCAAUGGGAGAGAUCCUGAACCAGCCAAGCCGCGUGAGGGAAGACGGCCCUAUGGGUUGUAAACCUCUUUUGUCGGAGAACAAAACCCGGGACGUGUCCCGGACUGCGUGUAUCCGAAGAAAACGCAUCGGCUAACUCCGUGCCAGCAGCCGCGGUAAUACGGAGGAUGCGAGCGUUAUCCGGAUUUAUUGGGUUUAAGGGGUGCGUAGGCGGUCCGUUAAGUCAGCGGGAAAAGUGUGGGGCUCAACCCCGUCGAGCCGUUGAAACUGGCAGACUGGAGUUGGCGAGAGGUACGCGGAAUGCGCGGUGUAGCGGUGAAAUGCAUAGAUAUCGCGAAGAACUCCGAUUGCGAAGGCAGCGUACCGGCGCCAGACUGACGCUGAGGCACGAAAGCGUGGGGAUCGAACAGGAUUAGAUACCCUAGUAGUC